CCCCCACCCAACCUCUCCCCCAGGCUCUGCGCGGGCCUGACUGUCUCCGGUCCCUGGUCGACUGGGCCCUAAAUUUCCUGUGGGAGCGAGUUGCCCCCUGGAUCCAGCACCAGGGGGGCUGGGACUUCAUCUUCAGUUACCUCACCUCUUCCGCCUAGGGGGGGACAGACCCCAUCCCGGGAUGGCAUCAGCAGCUGGACAGAGCAGCCCCCCCUCUGCAGCAGAGACCUUACUGGGUGGACAGGGCAGGAAUUACCCAAUGCCCUUAGCUCUGCAGAAGCAAAGGCAGGCUGGGGGGAGAGGGGGGCUGAGGGGGUGAUGUGUGAGCAUCUCCCCACACACACACACAAAAAGAAAAUCACAAAUGAAAAAGGACAAAUAAUCAGGGCUGCCAAUGAAUCACGAUUAACUCGAAACAAAUUAACUUGAUUUAAAAACCUCAGUUGCGCCGAAUCAUCAUUUUAACACCGCUGUUCACCCGGAGCAGGACUUGUUCGAACAGGUGAUCGAUACUUUGGGAGCUCGAGACGCUGAAACCAACCGCAACAUGGGCUACAAACUGCACCGGGCUUCACGCUCCGUGCUGAGUCCCGCUGACAAAGAUUUGCCCUGGA
Molecule: non-coding RNA, 614 nt
Organism: Chelonoidis abingdonii (Abingdon island giant tortoise)
Lineage: Eukaryota; Metazoa; Chordata; Testudines; Testudinidae
Source: RefSeq, a predicted model, not a curated record